UACUUUACAUAAAUCCCUUCAAAUAGCUUGUUGACAUAAUGAAGACCAAAUAAUAAACGACUGCUAUUGUCGCUUUGUUGUCGUGGACUAUUAAAGUUUACGGACGAAAUAAUGUCUAGUUGUCAUGUUGCAAAAUAUUAAUUCCAUUUCUUAUCGCCGUGUUUUUUAUACCUAUUUGUCCCUUAUUUACACGUAUGUAUUAAUAUCAUUUGAACGAAUGCAUUAAUAUAUGAGUUAUAGAAAAUUGGCGGAUUAUCUUCGAAAAAUAUUUUGACUCAAUUUGAAUCGUGUUACUCAACCCAUUAUAAUAAACGAACCUCAUGAAAUCGUUUACCGCUUCUCCUUAAUCCAUUUGUGUAAUACUGAAUGCUAAGUAAGAGUGGAAAGCUUCCACCAUCCACCAGACCAUUACAAGCACUACAUACGCCAUCUUCAAUAUCGUAUAUUUUCAGUAGUCAACUUGACUAGCUCUUAUUGGCGGUUUUAUUCAAGAGAAGAUUCAUCCGGUGAAAAUUCAAGCAACUAUUACUGCACUAGCAAUUGGAUCGGUAAAUAGGCGAGAUCUGAAAGUUUCGGUAAAGUUUUAGAUUACAUGGCUUAGUUUCACACGCUCUUUAUAUUCUCAACCUUCCGACGCAAAUCACCAGAUUCAAUAAAUGAGUCCUACUCCUACACCUACUCUUAUCACUUGUAAUCCAAAAAAGCUCCAUUUCUUUCUUGCACGCUAAUUCACUAUUAAAUAGAAAUGUAUAUGCAAAACAGCGAGAAAUUUGUAGAUACGUUGAAUGUUGUUGCUUUCACAUUUGCAACUCUUAGUAGUUGUUCAAAACAACAAUGUCGAGCAAAGAUGUUUGCGAUGUUUGAAUGAUUCUUGGAUUGUAUUUGGAUUCCAUCGGUACUAUGGCCUGUUGAUUCGGCACCUUUGUCAUUUUAGCAACUUUUGUUUUCUUUUCUGUGUCGAUGUAGUUCUCUAUACCAUAUUCAUGUUCAUAUUCAUGUUCAUAUUCAUGUUCAUAUCAAUGUCCAUAUCAA
Molecule: non-coding RNA, 1032 nt
Organism: Schizosaccharomyces pombe (fission yeast)
Lineage: Eukaryota; Fungi; Ascomycota; Schizosaccharomycetes; Schizosaccharomycetales; Schizosaccharomycetaceae
Source: the annotation of a GenBank genome assembly